RNAcentral lists this unclassified non-coding RNA (261 nucleotides) under Trichomeriaceae sp. RNAcentral's name for it is "partial contains 5.8S ribosomal RNA, internal transcribed spacer 2, and large subunit ribosomal RNA". The record is from RNAcentral. Lineage: Eukaryota; Fungi; Ascomycota; Eurotiomycetes; Chaetothyriales; Trichomeriaceae.
CGCACAUUGCGCCCUUUGGCAUUCCGAAGGGCAUGCCUGUUCGAGCGUCAUUAUCCUCUCUCAAACCCCCGGGUUUGGUGUUGGACCGCGUUGGCCGCAGGGCCAACUGGUCUCAAAGACAAUGACGGCGUCCUAGGGACCCUCUUCGCACUGAGCUUUCCGGAGCACGCGCAAGAGUUUCAAGGGCCCAUGGACCCGGUCACCACCUUUAAAUUUUUUCAGGUUGACCUCGGAUCAGGUAGGAAUACCCGCUGAACUUAA